UACGGAGGGUGCAAACGUUGCUCGGAAUCAUUGGGCGUAAAGCGCACGUAGGCGGCGCGUUAAGUCGGAUGUGAAAGCCCCGGGCUCAACCCGGGAAGUGCAUACGAAACUGGCGCGCUUGAAUAUGGAAGAGGGUCGCGGAAUUCCCGGUGUAGAGGUGAAAUUCGUAGAUAUCGGGAGGAACACCAGUGGCGAAGGCGGCGACCUGGACGGACACUGACGCUGAGACGCGAAAGCGUGGGGAGCAAACAGG
This 253-nucleotide ribosomal RNA is filed under the name uncultured bacterium. Its description in RNAcentral is "partial 16S ribosomal RNA". It matches the Rfam family "Bacterial small subunit ribosomal RNA", at positions 524 to 776 of the family's 1533-position model. The record is from RNAcentral.